RNAcentral lists this transfer RNA (73 nucleotides) under Bacteroidales bacterium. RNAcentral describes it as "tRNA-Pro". It matches the Rfam family "tRNA". From Rfam's summary of the family: Transfer RNA (tRNA) molecules are approximately 80 nucleotides in length. Their secondary structure includes four short double-helical elements and three loops (D, anti-codon, and T loops). Further hydrogen bonds mediate the characteristic L-shaped molecular structure. tRNAs have two regions of fundamental functional importance: the anti-codon, which is responsible for specific mRNA codon recognition, and the 3' end, to which the tRNAs corresponding amino acid is attached (by aminoacyl-tRNA synthetases). tRNAs cope with the degeneracy of the genetic code in two manners: having more than one tRNA (with a specific anti-codon) for a particular amino acid; and 'wobble' base-pairing, i.e. permitting non-standard base-pairing at the 3rd anti-codon position. The record is from RNAcentral. Lineage: Bacteria; Pseudomonadati; Bacteroidota; Bacteroidia; Bacteroidales. RNAcentral also lists the same sequence under 1 other name.
CGGGGUGUAGCGCAGUUGGUAGCGUACUACGUUCGGGACGUAGGGGUCGUGUGUUCGAGUCACAUCACCCCGA